AUUGAACGCUGGCGGCAGGCCUAACACAUGCAAGUCGAGCGGAUGAAGAGAGCUUGCUCCUGGAUUCAGCGGCGGACGGGUGAGUAAUGCCUAGGAAUCUGCCUGGUAGUGGGUGAUAACGUCCGGAAACGGGCGCUAAUACCGCAUACGUCCUGAGGGAGAAAGUGGGGGAUCUUCGGACCUUAGGCUAUCGGAUGAGCCGAGGUCGGAUUAGCUAGUUGGUGGGGUAAAGGCCUACCAAGGCGACGAUCCGUAGCUGGUCUGAGAGGAUGAUCAGUCACACUGGAACUGAGACACGGUCCAGACUCCUACGGGAGGCAGCAGUGGGGAAUAUUGGACAAAGGGCGAAAGCCUGAUCCAGCCAUGCCGCGUGUGUGAAGAAGGUCUUCGGAUUGUAAAGCACUUUUAGUUGGGAGGAAGGGCAGUAAGUUAAUACCUUGCUGUUUUGACGUUACCAACAGAAUAAGCACCGGCUAACUUCGUG
Molecule: ribosomal RNA, 484 nt
Filed under: uncultured bacterium
Lineage: Bacteria
Description: partial 16S ribosomal RNA
Rfam family: Bacterial small subunit ribosomal RNA
Source: RNAcentral